Phragmites australis (common reed) is the source of this 434-nucleotide long non-coding RNA. RefSeq lists it as uncharacterized. The record is from RefSeq and is a predicted model, not a curated record. The transcript has 4 exons. NCBI's taxonomy places the organism in Eukaryota, Viridiplantae, Streptophyta, Magnoliopsida, Poales, Poaceae.
GAAGGAAUUGCAUACAUAUAUCUAUUGCUAUCUGCUCUCCCGGUUUCCCCUUUGUUCUUUUUUUAACUUCUGAUGUCUCUUAUUUUAUAUCUUUAAACUGACCAAUUUGUUUAAUGCUCUAUACUGUUCGGUGCUGAUGACGGCCAAAAAAUUGUCAAGGAAACUGACUUCAUACCUCCCCAAACUGAAACAAAUGGUCAAGGUAAUGCUUUCCGAGUAAUGAUAAGGGCAUUGAAAGAGGAGUAUGAGCGACUUCCUCCUUACAUCGAGACUCUAGCAUCAUGGGAGGUCUGGAUUUCUUUAGCUACUUGGGAGAAUUGCAGGAGGCAGUGUCCAAACUAAAUUCAUACUUCGGUGGUGACAAAGCUCAGGGAAGCAUUGCAUUGAAUCAAGAUGAUGUCGGAGCAAUUGGGUUGGGGCGCAAAGGAAGAUCC